UACAGAGGUCUCAAGCGUUGUUCGGAUUCAUUGGGCGUAAAGGGUGCGUAGGCGGCGCGGUAAGUCGGUUGUGAAAUCUCGGGGCUUAACUCCGAAACUGCAUUCGAUACUGCCGUGCUUGAGGACUGGAGAGGAGACUGGAAUUUACGGUGUAGCGGUGAAAUGCGUAGAUAUCGUAAGGAAGACCAGUGGCGAAGGCGGGUCUCUGGACAGUUCCUGACGCUGAGGCACGAAGGUCAGGGGAGCAAACGGG
RNAcentral lists this ribosomal RNA (253 nucleotides) under uncultured bacterium. RNAcentral describes it as "partial 16S ribosomal RNA". It matches the Rfam family "Bacterial small subunit ribosomal RNA", at positions 524 to 776 of the family's 1533-position model. The record is from RNAcentral.